RNAcentral lists this ribosomal RNA (253 nucleotides) under uncultured bacterium. Its description in RNAcentral is "partial 16S ribosomal RNA". It matches the Rfam family "Bacterial small subunit ribosomal RNA", at positions 524 to 776 of the family's 1533-position model. The record is from RNAcentral.
UACGUAGGGGGCUAGCGUUGUCCGGAAUCAUUGGGCGUAAAGAGCGUGUAGGCGGCCCGGUAAGUCCGCUGUGAAAGUCGGGGGCUCAACCCUCGAAUGCCGGUGGAUACUGUCGGGCUAGAGUGCGGAAGAGGCGAGUGGAAUUCCUGGUGUGGCGGUGGAAUGCGCAGAUAUCAGGAGGAACACCAAUGGCGAAGGCAGCUCUCUGGUACGUGACUGACGCUGAGACGCGAAAGCGUGGGGAGCGAACAGG